UCGGUUCUUGACAGAAGAAUGAAGAUUUCGUCAUUUCGCGUGUUGAUUCUCUUUUUCAUUUCGAUUUUUGUGUUAAUUUUGAUAGCCAUGGUGAUGAUUGAUGACUUGGAUUAUGCCUCCAUAGUAUGGACGUAUUGUCGACAUUGAUUUGAAGACUCCCCCACGCCCACCAGGCUAUGCUUUUGUGGAGUUCGAAGAUAUUUAUGAUGCUGAAGACGCGAUUUAUAAGGGUGAGGAAACCUCCCCUAGUAGACACGUUUAAAAACCUUGAGGGGAAGCCCAAAAGUUGGAAUUUGCACAUGGUGAAAGAGGACAUUCCUCUUCAAUAGAUCGUUAUAGUUGUAGUGGGAGCAGGCAUAGUGGUGUUUCUCGGCGAACUGACUAUCGUGGUAUGUAUUUUAUCUACUUCUAGUGUGACAGUUUGAUCCUAUUACGGUGACGAUAUUGUGUUUGUGCAGUUUUGGUUACUGGAUUACCUGAAGGUAAGCACAAUAUUUUUAUUUCAGUGAAAUAGCACGCUACUUGUCCAUUUAUUUGCUCGAUCAUAGCACCCUUGUUAAAUAGAAAUAACAAAUUAGUAUAUGACUCCACCCUCUUCUAUUAAUUUAUAGUUUGCUAUGUGAAUUUAAUAUUCAGGACCAUAUGCAUCGUGCUGGUGAUGUAUGCUUCUCGGAAGUUUUUCGUGAUCGUGAUGGUCGAGAUCAACGUCGAGAUCAAGAUCAGGAUCGUCAGUUUCAUAUCGCGCCAUGAGAGCGAACAUCAGAGUCUGAGCAGAUCUUGGUCCAAGUCCAGAAACAUAUCCAGAUCCCUUUCACCUAAUGUGAGCCUGGUUCGAAGCCAUAGCCGAUUGGUUGAUUCUUUUGGAAGAAGGAAUAGUGAAAGAGAUAUGAAAAGAUAGAAUCGAUGAAAGCUGCAGUGUUCUAUUAUUGUUUACUGACUUGAUGCUUAGAGGGUUACACAAUUCCAUUGGACCAGAAAUAGUAAAUCAUGAAAAUCUAGAUAAAUUAUUUACUAACAAUCUCCUAAAAUCUUGGUAGUUUGAAUAUUUGAAUCAUAUUUCAACUACUUUAAAUCAUAUCUUCGUUUUGAAUACUUUGAAUCAUAUCUCAACACUUCCCCUUGAUUCAAAGUUGGAGAUGUUAAGUACAUAGCUUUUCUUUUGACAAGGCAUUUGUAAAUAUGUCUGCUUUAACCCGUACAUUGUUUGUCUCAGCUUGUAUACCUUUGUUUCUUUGUCUUCCUUUAUGAAUCGGUGUUACAUAUACCUCUUCUUGUAAAUCUCCAUAAAACUUUUCGUUUAGUAGGUUAACCAUAUCCCAUGUUCCAUCUUUCUUAACGGACUGCAUCUCUACUGCCAUGGCUUUCUUUCUGUCUUCUUUUUUUAAGU
Molecule: long non-coding RNA, 1387 nt
Organism: Cucurbita maxima (winter squash)
Lineage: Eukaryota; Viridiplantae; Streptophyta; Magnoliopsida; Cucurbitales; Cucurbitaceae
Exons: 7
Source: RefSeq, a predicted model, not a curated record